Molecule: long non-coding RNA, 277 nt
Filed under: Coffea arabica (coffee)
Lineage: Eukaryota; Viridiplantae; Streptophyta; Magnoliopsida; Gentianales; Rubiaceae
Description: long non-coding RNA (CARA_LNC006559)
Source: RNAcentral
AUAAAAAGGCUUAGGGUGCAAAUUUGGGUAUCAGACAAAGAAACAGUCAAGGCUCAGAUUGGUUAACUAGGUGAAAUAUGAUCAAGGUAGGCUUUUAGAAAGUCAAAAGGGGUUAAACCUAAUUGCCCUUCUCAUAUUAAUGCCUCAAAUUCAAACGUGGUCUCGACAUGCAUAACAAAGCAAGUUCUAGAAUAUCAAAUCAUGUGUGAUAUCACUCAUUCAAAGCAAAUAGAGCAAUUAUAAAUGUAAUGCUCAUUAGGCCCAAAAGCUCACAAAA